Molecule: RNA transcript, 1889 nt
Organism: Medicago truncatula (barrel medic)
Lineage: Eukaryota; Viridiplantae; Streptophyta; Magnoliopsida; Fabales; Fabaceae
Gene name: serine/arginine-rich splicing factor SR30
Exons: 15
Source: RefSeq, a predicted model, not a curated record
AAGGUAGAAACAAACAGCCAAGAUGCAAUCGUUGUUCUGGCCGUCCACGUGUCACCAUAACAUAUUGCCUGCUCCUCCAAUUAAAUGUUGAGUUUCCUCUGUGACUCAGAACAGAACAAACAUCGUCUUCCAUUCUUCGCGUAUUUGCUUGCUUAUACAUCUCUCUCAGGGAAAAAAAUGAGUGGCCGGUCAAGUCGCACAUUAUAUGUUGGCAAUCUUCCUGGUGAUAUUCGCCUGAGAGAAGUUGAGGAUCUUUUCUACAAGUAUGGUCCUAUCGUUGACAUUGAUUUGAAGAUCCCUCCGAAACCACCAGGUUAUGCUUUUGUUGAGUUUGAGGAUGCUCGUGAUGCUCAAGAUGCGAUUUAUUAUAGAGAUGGUUAUGAUUUUGAUGGUUAUCGAUUACUGGUUGAACUUGCACAUGGUGGACGGGGAAGUUCAUCAUCAGUAGACCGAUACAGUAGGCAUAGCGGUAGAAGUGGUAGCCGUGGAGUUUCCAGGCGAUCUGACUAUCGUGUUCUGGUUACUGGAUUGCCUCCUUCUGCUUCAUGGCAAGAUCUGAAAGAUCACAUGCGUAAAGCUGGUCAUGUGUGUUUUUCUCAAGUGUUCCGUGAGCGUGGAGGCUUGACUGGGAUAGUGGAUUAUACCAAUUAUGAUGAUGUGAAAUAUGCUAUCAGGAAACUUGAUGACUCUGAAUUUCGGAAUGCAUUUUCACGAUCAUACAUACGGGUGAGGGAAUAUGAUCGGAGUCACUCCAGAAGUCCCAGUCGUGAUUCGAGGAGGAGCUAUUCUCGAAGCCGCAGCCCAUAUGUAUCACGAAGUCGAAGCUGCAGUCUAAGUCAUAGCUACAGUGGCAGGAGCAGAAGUUUGUCUCCAAAAGCAAAACACUCUCGGCGCUCAUUUUCCCUUUCAAGAUGUAGCCUUUUGCGGCGACCUGGGAACUGCAUGUUAGGAUCUUGAUGGCAUGUGGUGCUCAAACGCCUGCAACUUCGUGGUAUGAGACUGAAUGACAGUAGAUGGAUGAGUUGGAAUGUAAAAGCCGGAUCACUGUGAACAUAAUGCUAUUGGUAACAAGUAACAACAAUUACAAAUCAGCAGACAGUUUAAAAACUUCAAAUAACCUAUGCUCUAAGUUCUGGGUUGAGCUUAUCCUUUUCUUUAGGAUUUCUUUUAAUGUCUGAUAUUGAAACUGGUUACAACUUAACUACAAUUGAUUCAAUUCAAGGUAUCAUGCACUGCUCACAAAUCACAAUAGAAUUUUAAGGAUUGUGCAUGACAUUGAGUUCAAUUACUUUCCUCCUCUACUCGGAUCAAGAUUUGUGGUAGAUUGAUUUCUUCCUUUUGGUUACACUAACUUUGAUGUGGAAUUUGGACUUGUGGGGCAAGUCAUCAAACUUUUCAUGGUUCAUUCUAGAUAUUGAAUUGAUAUUUGUUCAUUUUUAUUUUUGCAGAUCACAGUCGAGGUCCCGAUCUCCAAGUCCAUCCCCUCGAGGUUACCAGAGCCGCAGUCCUAGCCAAAGUUCAAGGAGCCUGUAACAAUCUCGUUUCGCUCAAGUGAGAUCUGAAUGCAGUCGAUGUAUGCAAUCUGGGGAGGCCACUGCUGCAGAACAUGCACCAUCAUUCUGUGCUACAUCUAAGAUCCAAUACAGCUCUAUUAUUUUCACCAAAAUAAAAACAUAUAUAGCUCUAUUAUAGCUCAGACUAGUUUGUAUUUGAAUCUUAAAUUUGAUUGGUGAAACUGUGUAAGAAGCAUUUAAAUUUGAAGUGGAUGAUUUGAACGAACUGAAAUGAUAUUGUAUUAUCAACAUAUGACUGGGCUAUGUCACAUAAUAAGGCCUGGGCGUUUAGCAGUUUACAAUUACCAUAUUGGAUUGGCUGUUUUUACCCUAGAA